UCAUGUUAAUUUAAAAAAAAACUCACAUAUUCACCUAUUCAUCCAAAAAAAAUAUUCACUUAUUCACCCAAACAUCAAUUCACCCAACAAUACAUUUUCCCUUUCUUCCCCAUUUCCAUCUUAGAAUUUUUUUUUUCUAUUUCUUCUCAAAUUUGCUCAAAAGGUCGAGGAAUUAUUAAAGUUCUUCUAAAAAAAUUCCUAUUUCAUCUUAGAAAUUAUUGUCCCAAUUUCUUCAUUGAUUCUUACUUUUCCUUUGAAGAAGUUUUUCUGGAUUUCUUCAUCAUUCUUUAACCUUGAAGAAGUUUUUCCCGUUUUGUUAAAAAAAUUCAAUUCUCUCUUCAAUUGAUUCCUUCAAUUUCCUCUCCAAUCGUUUUCCUUUAGUUUCCUCUUCAAUAUGUAUUCAUCUUCAAUCUUUUUCCUUCAAUCAGAUUUCUCUUACGAUUUAGUGAUUUACGUUUUACGAUUUUUGAUUCACGACUAAGCAGUUCAAGGAUUCAUGAGGCUUUAGGAGCUGGUUUAUCCAAUCUAAAACAUUUCUCAUAAGCAAGUGUUGCAUGACAAAGAAUAAUGAAAAUGACUAAUAGAGUUCCAAAGAUAAAUUUUGAAAACAUAGAGUGAGAGAUUUAGAGAAAGUGUUAGGAGAAAUUGAAAUUAAGAAUGUUGAAUUUGUGUAUCGAUCAAGACCAGACAGUGUGAUUUUAAAUGAUUUUUUUUCUAAAAGUUUCAUCAAGUAAAAUAUUGGCAUUAGUUAGAUUAAGUGGUUUUGGAAAAUCAAUUAUUGUAUCACUUUUGUAAAGAUUUUAUGAUCUAAUUAGUGAAAAAAUAUUUGUUGAUGAAA
This is a long non-coding RNA of Cicer arietinum (chickpea), 838 nucleotides long. RefSeq lists it as uncharacterized. The record is from RefSeq and is a predicted model, not a curated record. Lineage: Eukaryota; Viridiplantae; Streptophyta; Magnoliopsida; Fabales; Fabaceae.